UACGUAGGGUGCGAGCGUUAAUCGGAAUUACUGGGCGUAAAGCGUGCGCAGGCGGUUCGUUAAGUUCGUUGUGAAAGCCCCGGGCUCAACCUGGGAACUGCAAUGGAAACUGGCGGGCUUGAGUGCGGCAGAGGGGGGUGGAAUUCCGCGUGUAGCAGUGAAAUGCGUAGAGAUGCGGAGGAACACCGAUGGCGAAGGCAGCCCCCUGGGCCGACACUGACGCUCAGGCACGAAAGCGUGGGGAGCAAACAGG
Molecule: ribosomal RNA, 253 nt
Filed under: uncultured bacterium
Lineage: Bacteria
Description: partial 16S ribosomal RNA
Rfam family: Bacterial small subunit ribosomal RNA
Source: RNAcentral